This 253-nucleotide ribosomal RNA is filed under the name uncultured bacterium. Its description in RNAcentral is "partial 16S ribosomal RNA". It matches the Rfam family "Bacterial small subunit ribosomal RNA", at positions 524 to 776 of the family's 1533-position model. The record is from RNAcentral.
UACGUAGGGUGCGAGCGUUGUCCGGAAUUAUUGGGCGUAAAGAGCUUGUAGGCGGUCUGUCGCGUCUGCUGUGAAAAUCCGGGGCUCAACCCCGGACUUGCAGUGGGUACGGGCAGACUAGAGUGUGGUAGGGGAGACUGGAAUUCCUGGUGUAGCGGUGAAAUGCGCAGAUAUCAGGAGGAACACCGAUGGCGAAGGCAGGUCUCUGGGCCACUACUGACGCUGAGAAGCGAGAGCAUGGGGAGCGAACAGG